Molecule: ribosomal RNA, 296 nt
Filed under: uncultured bacterium
Lineage: Bacteria
Description: partial 16S ribosomal RNA
Rfam family: Bacterial small subunit ribosomal RNA
Source: RNAcentral
UGUUCCUACGGGACGCAGCAGUGAGGAAUAUUGGUCAAUGGCCGAAGGGCUGAACCAGCCAAGCCGCGUGAAGGAAUAAGGCCCUACGGGUCGUAAACUUCUUUAGUCAGGGAACAAAGGGUGCCACGUGUGGCGCUGUGAGUGUACCUGAAGAAUAAGCAUCGGCUACCUCCGUGCCAGCAGCCGCGGUAAUAUGGAGGAUGCGGGCGUUAUCCGGAUUUAUUGGGUUUAAAGGGUGCGCAGGCGGCGAUUUAAUUCAGCGGUAAAAUUUCGGGUCUCAACCCCGCCAACCCGUU